ACAGCGUUUGUAUUUUUGUUUGAGGAACGUAAAUGGAACACGUAGAAUUCAUUAUUGUAAUCAUUAUUAUUCAGAUAUGAUAUGGGAUAUAAAUCAUAAGUGGCAUUUAGGAAAUAAAUGGUUAAAAAAAAAGGAAUCAUAUUGAAGGCCAGAGAAUGUAAAGUUUGCAGUUGGAAUGAUAGUUAAACAUGAUAAAGAGGUGGGUGUGAUCGUCGGAUGGGACAGAUAUGAUAUUGAUAGAAGUGAUACAAUCUCUUUAGACGUUACACAGGACUUAGA
Long non-coding RNA from Nylanderia fulva, 279 nucleotides. RefSeq lists it as uncharacterized. NCBI's taxonomy places the organism in Eukaryota, Metazoa, Arthropoda, Insecta, Hymenoptera, Formicidae. The record is from RefSeq and is a predicted model, not a curated record.